UGGGGAAUAUUGCACAAUGGGGGAAACCCUGAUGCAGCAACGCCGCGUGAGCGAAGAAGGCCUUUGGGUCGUAAAGCUCUGUCCUUGGGGAAGAAAAAUGACGGUACCCAAGGAGGAAGCCCCGGCUAACUACGUGCCAGCAGCCGCGGUAAUACGUAGGGGGCAAGCGUUGUCCGGAAUUAUUGGGCGUAAAGAGUAUGUAGGUGGUUUCUUAAGCGCAGGGUAUAAGGCAAUGGCUUAACCAUUGUUCGCCCCGUGAACUGAGAGACUUGAGUGCUGGAGAGGAAAGCGGAAUUCCUAGUGUAGCGGUGAAAUGCGUAGAUAUUAGGAGGAACACCAGUGGCGAAGGCGGCUUUCUGGACAGUAACUGACACUGAGAUACGAAAGCGUGGGGAGCAAACAGGAUUAGAUACCCUGGUAGU
RNAcentral lists this ribosomal RNA (422 nucleotides) under uncultured Anaerovorax sp. RNAcentral's name for it is "bacterial SSU rRNA". It matches the Rfam family "Bacterial small subunit ribosomal RNA", at positions 355 to 794 of the family's 1533-position model. Lineage: Bacteria; Bacillati; Bacillota; Clostridia; Peptostreptococcales; Anaerovoracaceae. The record is from RNAcentral.